GUCGUAACAAGGUUUCCGUAGGUGAACCUGCGGAAGGNUCAUUAAAAGAUUGACCCCAAGCCGGAAACGGUAAAGGGUACACCUUCAAACCACCGUGAACUUUCCUUGUUGCUUCCGUAGGGCAGCGACUUUAUGUCGCCCGACUGCCAACGCGGUCGGAGAACUUGCGGUAAGACCAUAACCCAACUCUUGUUGUGUGUGCCUGUCUGAACAUAAGCAAAUUCUUAAAACUUUCAACAACGGAUCUCUUGGUUCUCGCACCGAUGAAGAACGCAGCGAAAUGCGAUAAGUAAUGUGAAUUGCAGAAUUCAGUGAAUCAUCGAAUCUUUGAACGCACAUUGCGCCCCAUGGUAUUCCGUAGGGCACGUCUGUCUGAACGUCAUUAUAAACUCAAGCUACGCUUGGUGAUGGGGUUGGCUUUGGCCAUCUCCCGCAAUCCGUCGGCGGAGGCCGCCGUGAGCCGAUAUGAUGAACAUCUUUAUUGAGCUUUGCGGUGAGCAGCCUGCCAAAUGAAUUCUACAGCUUGACUUCAGGUCAGACGAGGUUACCCGCUGAACUUAAGCAUAUCAAUAAGCGGAGGAAAAGAAACCAACAGGGAUUGCCUCAGUAACGGCGAGUGAAGCGGCAAAAGCUCAAAUUUGAAAUCGGCUUCCAAGUCGAGUUGUAAUUUGUAGAGGUGUCUUCAGUGUCCUGGUGGGGGUAUAUUCCUUGGAACAGGAUGGCAUAGAGGGUGAGAUCCCCGUCCGUACCCCGUCAAGAUCUACUACAGAAUGACCCUUCGACGAGUCGAGUUGUUUGGGAAUGCAGCUCAAAAUGGGUGGUAAAUUUCAUCUAAAGCUAAAUAUUGGCGAGAGACCGAUAGCGCACAAGUAGAGUGAUCGAAAGAUGAAAAGCACUUUGGAAAGAGAGUCAAACAGUACGUGAAAUUGUUGAAAGGGAAGCGCUUGCAACCAGACUCUUUUUCGGUUGAUCAUCCCUCCUUUUGGUGGGUGCACUCUGCCGUGAUUGGGACAGCAUCGGUCGGUGCGGCGGGACAAAGGUUCAGGGAAUGUGGCUCGCUUCGGUGAGUGUUAUAGCCCAGUUCGUAAUGCCGCCUGCUGCCGACCGAGGUCCGCGCUAUGCUAGGAUGCUGUCAUAAUGGUUGUCAGCGACC
RNAcentral lists this ribosomal RNA (1153 nucleotides) under uncultured fungus. RNAcentral's name for it is "eukaryotic LSU rRNA". The stretch from base 525 to 1153 matches the Rfam family "Eukaryotic large subunit ribosomal RNA", at positions 1 to 649 of the family's 3401-position model. Lineage: Eukaryota; Fungi. The record is from RNAcentral.